Molecule: transfer RNA, 67 nt
Filed under: Cherax cainii
Lineage: Eukaryota; Metazoa; Arthropoda; Malacostraca; Decapoda; Parastacidae
Description: tRNA-Asn
Source: RNAcentral
UUUAAUGGAAGCCAAAAAUGAGGCUUAUCACUGUUAAUGAUAGAACUGAAUACACCUUUCCCAUUAA